RNAcentral lists this long non-coding RNA (1033 nucleotides) under Apteryx rowi (Okarito brown kiwi). Its description in RNAcentral is "lncRNA (ENSARWG00000011030.1)". The record is from RNAcentral. Lineage: Eukaryota; Metazoa; Chordata; Aves; Apterygiformes; Apterygidae.
CCUUGUAGUACGAAAUGAAUUAGGAAAAUGAUGACUUUAUUCUUCUGUUUUAACCUAGGUCUAUUUUCACUCCACCCUGGAUACGCUGAGAAAGUACGUACGAGAAACAUACCAUACAGAGGAAGGGCACUGGCAAGAGAGGGGGAAUUCUUCCUGGAACCUGUCUCCUGCAGCACCAGCUCGCAAUACCCUCCUCUGCUGGAAGAUCCAGGUGAAAAACUUGCUGAAUGGAAAACAGUCACAAACCUUAUUAUGUUUAAGAGGGAUGGAGCUUCUUAAAAAAUAAAAAACACACUUCCAUUAAUGGGAGCUAUGUCAGACUGUGGAAACCUAGGAGAGCUGCUGAGUACCUGGUUUUGUCUGCGGGCUCAGACUGCCUCCUGCCUCUACCUGAGAACAAGACCCAGCUAUGCACUUCUACUGCUCUAUCCUAGUUUCCAUGGGAAGAAGGUGCACAGGGUAGAUGAGACCUGCAGUAUGCUCCAAAAGGUACUGAUCUAAACACCUGGGGAACCACCUCCCCCAGGGGUGCUAUAUCAUGUCCCAUCACAAAGAGUGUGGAAAAGCGCAUUUUUAAUGUUUCUGUGCUUCUCAAUAUUAACCCCAACUACCUGAAAUUAAACUCUUAAAUGCCAUGGGAGUAGUUGUUGCUCUGCUCUUUGCAGACCAAAUUCUGAAACAAAGGUUAUGCUCAGGAAAAUGUGUGUAAGAGUGCAUCUCUGUCUGUUGUGAAUAGGCUGAAAAGCAAAAAUAGUCAUCCAGAUUUUGAUUAUUUACCAAAUUGCAGAACACUUUUGAAGGCUACAAACUGCUAGUUGUUAUUUAUGUGGGAAACAUAAUUUGAGUAAAGCACAAGGGCCUAAUGGGGCUUACAUUAUUGGGUUUAAAAAAGCAAAGCGGGUGGGAAGCCGUAAGUCUUAUGCUAUACAAAAACUCACAUGCAGGUUUCCUGUAGUACUAACAUACAAAAGACAUUGAGGAACAUUAGAUCACUCACAAAGUGGUAAUAAAAGCACCUUACCCAACUGUUGCA